This 253-nucleotide ribosomal RNA is filed under the name uncultured bacterium. RNAcentral describes it as "partial 16S ribosomal RNA". It matches the Rfam family "Bacterial small subunit ribosomal RNA", at positions 524 to 776 of the family's 1533-position model. The record is from RNAcentral.
CACGUAGGGCGCAAGCGUUGUCCGGAAUUAUUGGGCGUAAAGAGCUCGUAGGCGGUCUGUUACGUCUGCUGUGAAAACCCGGGGCUUAACCCUGGGCUUGCAGUGGAUACGGGCAGACUAGAGGCAGGUAGGGGAGAAUGGAAUUCCCGGUGUAGCGGUGAAAUGCGCAGAUAUCGGGAGGAACACCGGCGGCGAAGGCGGCAUCCUGGACCGACACUGACACUGAGGAGCGAAAGCCAGGGGAGCAAACGGG